RNAcentral lists this long non-coding RNA (2228 nucleotides) under Olea europaea subsp. europaea. Lineage: Eukaryota; Viridiplantae; Streptophyta; Magnoliopsida; Lamiales; Oleaceae. The record is from RNAcentral.
CACCGCCAAGAACUGGUUCAUUAAAAUGAAAACUAUAUCCGCCCCAUUGCACUAUCGGUUCGAUUUUUUUCGCCCCAUUCGGUUCGGUUAACCGCGAUUUUCGAUUUUGACGGUUCAAAUUGCCAUCCCUAACUCCCCCAUCUCUCUCACACACUGACUGUCCCUCUCUCUUGCGACUGUCCCUCUCUCGUCGACUGUCUCUCAUCAAAAGAAAAAAUUUCAGUUACCUUCUUCCUCUCAUCAAAUCUUCGGCACCGGUUAAUGGGUUGACACAUUGAAGCUUGAGCUCACCGGUUCUGGUAAGUCAAAUUUUAUCUAAUUUUUGUAUUAAUAAGUUGUGAUUUUAUCAAAACAAUCUGUUCAUUACUUGGCCGAAAUAUAUGUAAUCAUGGUGUGUGACUUGAGGGUACUAGAAUCAUCUGUAGAAUGUGAAAUUGAAGAGAAACAUAUGUAAUAAGGGUUGAGUGUACAACUUCUUUUUGUUGAUUUGGAGUUUCUUUUCAUUGUCGGGUCAAAAGGGAAUUUAAAAAAAAAAAUGUAAAAACACAUGUUUAUUAGGGUGCUUAUUACAUUUCACACACAACGUAGACAAAUUAAUUGUGGAAUAAUUUUGCAUUGUUAUUACGGGUGCCUGUUACAUUUUCAUACACAAAAUGGACAAAUUAAUUGUGAAAUAAUUUUUAUUAUUUUCUAUUGUCGGAUUGAAUAUGGAAUUAUUCAAUCAUUAACUAGAAGAUUUUGAGAUCAAAUUUGUCUCUCUCUAAUUUCUUCUCUUGUACCUUGUAAAAUUAAAGAAAACUUGUGAUUAAUUAAAACUAAUAUUUAUAAAUUGUUAUAGAUUGAAUUGUGUAUAUUUAUUACGAUUAUUAAUAUGCUAAAAAUCUUAUUUCAUAUAUCAAGCACUAAUAGAUACAUGAUCAAUCUUUUUGGAGCAACGAGCCCCGAGCCUCAGGUUGAGUGUACCGGAAUCAUCUGCAGAAUUAACUCUAAACAAGUAAUAACCAAAAAAGUGAUGGGAAAAAACUAAAAAUCCAAGACAAGUACGAAGGGUAGACUUUUAAGGGUAGAUAAUUAAAUCCACAUUCGUAUUUAUGUAUGCUGAAAGAAAGUGGGGAGUGGAAGGAAUCUUCUUUUGUGAGAGAAGAGAAGCAGUGAGUGGGGAAAAAUUCUUCCAUUGUCACUGACAAGCUGGAGCUACAAAUUAAUUAAUCAAGUUUAUGAUGGGAUGCUGAAAUUCAAAUUUUGGAUGUUAGGAGAAAAUGUAGUGGAUCUAACUACGUAGAAUAACUUUUUAAUUUUGUUAUUAUUUUAUAGAGUCAAAAUAAGAAUGUAGAUGACAUGAGUUCACGUGCUUUUACUCCUUAAGUUAUGUAUCUUAUAUUAUUUAUUGUUUGUUCAAUAUAAAUUCAGACUAUAUGGUAUACUAAUUUUAAAGGGAAUAUGUUCAUUUUACUGUGAAUUUGUAGUCCUAACAAGGAAGUGGUAUCCAGGGAGGGACUAAGCAUUUGAAAAAUUCAAGUCGUUAACUAUUGCAUUGGUACCGGUAUGAUGAGAAAGAAAUCGUAGCAGAAGAGAAGAUUGCAUCAACUGACCCAAACGCAAAUGUACACCACAUGUCACUUGGACGAGAUUAUUGAAGAUUUGGGUUGAGGAAGUGUAUAUGGGUCAUUUGACCUUAUAUAGACCUACUGAUGAAUUUCGAGUUUUUGGUGAAGCCAUGGGAAGUACUGUUGCUUGGCCAAAGAAUAGUGUUAAACUCAUUUGACGAAUGCAUUUCAUGAAUUUUUGCUUAUUCAACUGAGCAAAGACUUUUAUGUUAUGUGAUAAGCUUAUUCUGAACAUGAUUGACACAUAGUUAAUGUUGUGUGUAUUUGAGUUUCCUAUAUUAUUAAUUAAUGUAUCUAACCACCUUAUCAAAAAAAAUUAAUGUACCUAAUCUCUAUAUUCUUUCUUUAUUGCAAUUAUAUGGAGUCAAGCUGAGUUAAAAGAAGAAUUUGAAAUUGAGUUCUUUUGUGCAUGUGCCUUCUUGGACCUCAUUUAUGUAAGCAGCUUGUUUUCGGAUGUCUUAUGUGAAGUUUUGGUUAAAUGGGUGGAGCUGAUUGUGAGAGUAAUCUUUGCCUUCUAGUGUUUGGCAUUAGCUUUUCUAAUGUAAAUCUUCUAGUUGGCUCAUUGUGUAUAUUCUUGACAUAUUUGCUCAUUUUUUAGCUCUCGUUUUAUUGUGUUUUGAA